AGCUUUCAGUUGCCACUUCAGAGGGGCAAAGUCCGAAUACUUCUUAGGAAUUAUAACCCUGAUUGUUCCAGGCUGUUUCUCGGACAUUCACGUGUUUCCCUUAACUGGAGAAGACACCGCGGUGCAGUCGCCUCCCUUCUGGGACUGGAAGAUGAGAUAUUUUAGCGAUAAAGAAUGGCAAUCCAGCCUGAGAUGAGUUUCCCCGCUGUGGUGCAUCUCUUGAAUUUUAAACACAAGCUGUGUUUCUUCAAUCCUCAAGUUUAGUAGAAGUGACUGGCCCCUGAUUCCGAAUGCAUAUGUAUCCAAAGGCAGUAGAAAUGUGUGUGUGACCAAGAGUCAAGUUCUGAGCUUCUAUAAGAGGGAUGAGUGACUAGAAGUGACAAUGAACUCUUCUUCACCAAGGUGCUUCACGGGGCUGCCUUCUGGGAACCUUCAGUUGUGCAUUAGGCAAACAUUACAAAAGCACUGAUAAAAUUCUAAGUAAAAGGCAAGGAAAACCAUUCAUGAUUCCAUCGCCCCAAGAACAGUCAAGCUGUUUGCAGAUUUUCCUCACUCUCUUUUGCUCAGAGCCACGUGAAUAUACAACGUCACUGGCAUAAUUACAGCAGAGAGACAUUUUGCAUCCAUUUAUUCCCCUUGCACAUCAUAUGAGCCCUGAGCCAACUUCUAAGAAGUUUUCUGCCCUAAAGCCACAGUGCUGGAGAGAGAGAGAGAGGAUGUGCCAAGAAUACACAGCCAUAGAGGUGCCCUGGGACGCCACGAGUCCUCCCAGCAUGUACCAUGGACACGAGAGGGAGCUUUCAGAUGAUUCCAUGUUCCAGCCUUGAAGAUGCUCCAGCCAAUACCCAGUGGAACAGGGAUAAGUUGAUCCCACCAAGCUUUACCUCAAAUGCAGAUUCAGGAGCAAAAUAAAUGUUGUUGGUUUAAAUCACUAAGCUCAGGCUGCUUAGUCACACAGUCACCCAGUAAUGAGUGGAACACAUUUAACUUGCAGGUGGGGACUUCUUCAACCCCAUCCAUUUGCAUAUAUUGCAAACAUUUCCCAAAAUGCCUGGGCUUUCAAGUUACCCUUCCCUGGUUCAUAUGAUAUUUUCUUUAAUAUAUUUUUUAUUUCUUAUUCAUAUAAAAAUAUUUUUUUAUUCUCAUUGCUCAUUUUAUUAAAAUUGUAGGUAAAGAGGAAAA
Molecule: long non-coding RNA, 1182 nt
Filed under: Sus scrofa (pig)
Lineage: Eukaryota; Metazoa; Chordata; Mammalia; Artiodactyla; Suidae
Description: lncRNA (ENSSSCG00015022578.1)
Source: RNAcentral